UUUGGAAAGAAAAUGCAAAGUAUGAGCACUUCCCAGGCAGCAACUGCUGAGCUGGCUGACGGUGCCCAUAAUGGAUCCUUUUCUAUUUGGGGGUAGCCACCUCCUUCCCAGACACAUGUGAACCAGAGCGCAGAGCAGCAUUUGGCAGGCUGCGCCCCUCCAGCGCUUCUGCUCCAGAGAGCUGGCUUCACUGCAUAGCAGGCUGGAUGGAGAGCAGGCGACCCUGAGGCAACGGAGGGGCUGGGUCCAGAGCCGGGGCUUUUGACUCUCGGUUCCAAGAUUGCGACUUUUUUGCAGGCAAGGAGGAAAGUAUCUUGUUGAUAGGAGUUUCCUCAGGAUCAUGUGAAAUGUUGCUAUUGUGGGAUUUUAGUUCCUGCGGCCAAACUUCCCAAGGUGGUUAAGGGUGGUGAAGGAGGGGAGAAGCAAGUAGAUCAAAUGAGAAAAAGAAAAAGAGCAGUCAUUUUAAGGGACAGAAAAGAAAAUGCUACCGAUCUUACUCAUUGAGAAAGCUCGCCAAGCCUUGUAACACCCUGUGAAAAAAUAAACACAGCCGAACAAAACAAA
This is a long non-coding RNA of Myotis lucifugus (little brown bat), 564 nucleotides long. RefSeq lists it as uncharacterized. The transcript is spliced from 2 exons. Lineage: Eukaryota; Metazoa; Chordata; Mammalia; Chiroptera; Vespertilionidae. The record is from RefSeq and is a predicted model, not a curated record.